CGGGUCUGAGUGAGCACCUACAUUUGGCUGUUGAGGGGCAGCUGGUGGAGUUGGCAGGCGACUCUGCACUAAGUUCUCAGGUUGAAUGGGAGUUGGGUCGAGGGAAGGAAUGGACGCAGAGUUAGGGUGAAGAGUUGCGGUGGGUCAGCGGGGGUGAAAGGACAUGGAGAUGUCAUUUUUAACAAGAUUGGGUGAGGGUGGUAGGAAAGGAGGCAGCAAGAGUUCGGGACAGUUUGGCAAAGACUUAGGGAUGGGGUGUCCUCAGUACGGCAGGAGACGCAAAGGAAGGUAUACAGUGGGCUAGGAGACUAAGGACGAGAAGACACAGUUACGACUUGGAAUAAGGCUGAGAUCGGAGUUAUCCAGAAGAAAGCGGGUGAUGACAACUCCGUGAGGGUGGAGAUUAUACCUCUCUCAUCAUUUCAGCAACAAGGAAAUAAUUUAGUGGCAGAGUAAGGGUGACUUGGUGAG
RNAcentral lists this long non-coding RNA (471 nucleotides) under Homo sapiens (human). RNAcentral's name for it is "HSALNT0243902". Lineage: Eukaryota; Metazoa; Chordata; Mammalia; Primates; Hominidae. The record is from RNAcentral.